Molecule: small nuclear RNA, 164 nt
Organism: Hippoglossus stenolepis (Pacific halibut)
Lineage: Eukaryota; Metazoa; Chordata; Actinopteri; Pleuronectiformes; Pleuronectidae
Product: U1 spliceosomal RNA
Exons: 1
Source: RefSeq, a predicted model, not a curated record
AUACUUUACCUGGCAGGGGAGAGAGAUACCAUGAUCAUGAAGGGUGGUUCACCCAGGGCGAGGCCUCAGCCAGGCUGACUCGGUUGUGCUGACCUGCAGGAAUCCCAAAUGUGAACUUCACUGCAUAAUUUGUGGUAGUGGGGGACUGCGCCCUGCGCCUCCUG